CUGUCGUCAGCUCGUGUCGUGAGAUGUUGGGUUAAGUCCCGCAACGAGCGCAACCCUUAUUGCUAGUUACCAUCAUUGAGUUGGGGACUCUAGCGAGACUGCCAGUGAUAAACUGGAGGAAGUGGGGAUGACGUCAAAUCAUCAUGCCCCUUAUGACCUGGGCUACAAACGUGAUACAAUGGCUGAAACAAAGGGCAGCGAAGCAGUGAUGUGGGAGCGAAACCCAAAAAGCAGUCUCAGUUCGGAUUGAAGUCUGCAACUCGACUUCAUGAAGUCGGAAUCGCUAGUAAUCGCGGAUCAGAACGCCGCGGUGAAUACGUUCUCGGGGUUU
This 331-nucleotide ribosomal RNA is filed under the name uncultured Acholeplasma sp. RNAcentral's name for it is "bacterial SSU rRNA". It matches the Rfam family "Bacterial small subunit ribosomal RNA", at positions 1049 to 1382 of the family's 1533-position model. The record is from RNAcentral. Lineage: Bacteria; Bacillati; Mycoplasmatota; Mollicutes; Acholeplasmatales; Acholeplasmataceae.